This 73-nucleotide transfer RNA is filed under the name Blattabacterium sp. (Nauphoeta cinerea). RNAcentral's name for it is "tRNA-Lys". Lineage: Bacteria; Pseudomonadati; Bacteroidota; Flavobacteriia; Flavobacteriales; Blattabacteriaceae. The record is from RNAcentral.
UUGAUUUAUUAAAAAAUUUCUAACACAACAGGACAAUGAUCGGAAUAUUGAACCUCUGGCAUGAGAUAAGCAU